UGCCUGAUGGUGUAAUGGUAGCACGAGUGACUCUGGAUCACUUAGUUGAGGUUCGAAUCCUCAUCGGGCAA
This 71-nucleotide transfer RNA is filed under the name Planctopirus limnophila DSM 3776. RNAcentral's name for it is "tRNA-Gln (CTG) (tRNA-Gln-CTG-2-1)". It matches the Rfam family "tRNA". From Rfam's summary of the family: Transfer RNA (tRNA) molecules are approximately 80 nucleotides in length. Their secondary structure includes four short double-helical elements and three loops (D, anti-codon, and T loops). The record is from Rfam by way of RNAcentral. RNAcentral also lists the same sequence under 1 other name. Lineage: Bacteria; Pseudomonadati; Planctomycetota; Planctomycetia; Planctomycetales; Planctomycetaceae.